UGUUCCCUACGGGGCGCAGCAGUAGGGAAUCUUCCACAAUGGGCGAAAGCCUGAUGGAGCAACGCCGCGUGGGUGAAGAAGGUCUUCGGAUCGUAAAACCCUGUUGUUAGAGAAGAAAGUGCGUGAGAGUAACUGUUCACGUUUCGACGGUAUCUAACCAGAAAGCCACGGCUAACUACGUGCCAGCAGCCGCGGUAAUACGUAGGUGGCAAGCGUUAUCCGGAUUUAUUGGUCGUAAAGUGAACGCAGGCGGUCUUUUAAUUCUUAUGUGAAAGCCUUCGGCUUAACCGGAGUAGUGCAU
Molecule: ribosomal RNA, 301 nt
Filed under: uncultured bacterium
Lineage: Bacteria
Description: bacterial SSU rRNA
Rfam family: Bacterial small subunit ribosomal RNA
Source: RNAcentral